UGCGAGAGUGAUGAGCUGCACUCUGGUAGAGCAACCGUGUCAGGUGACAUGGGCUCUGCUCAGAAUCUUCCUGAUGACAACACUAAGUGCACAGGGGCCAUCUGACUCGCU
Small nucleolar RNA from Cygnus olor (mute swan), 111 nucleotides. RefSeq annotates it as small nucleolar RNA SNORD67. The transcript has a single exon. NCBI's taxonomy places the organism in Eukaryota, Metazoa, Chordata, Aves, Anseriformes, Anatidae. The record is from RefSeq and is a predicted model, not a curated record.